GGUCAAGUUAGGCCACUCAUGUUUGGACUUGGUUAGAAGAUGGCGCUUGUCACAUUCCAAAUAUAACGAAAAUGAGGCUUAAUUAUUAUUCUGUGGGGGUAAAUAUGAAUGUUUUUGUCCUUCCUUUGGAUAUGAUACUAGAACAAAGCUAAUGGCAUUUACAUAUCAAAGAGAUUUACUCAUCACUUACAAAAUACAGGCCAAAUGGAUGAAG
This 214-nucleotide long non-coding RNA is filed under the name Pelobates cultripes (western spadefoot toad). Lineage: Eukaryota; Metazoa; Chordata; Amphibia; Anura; Pelobatidae. The record is from RNAcentral.